This is a long non-coding RNA of Ictalurus punctatus (channel catfish), 1840 nucleotides long. The record is from Ensembl. NCBI's taxonomy places the organism in Eukaryota, Metazoa, Chordata, Actinopteri, Siluriformes, Ictaluridae.
AUGAAAUUGACUACACAACAACUUUCCAUCAAGCUCAGGGACACAGUUCAGCAGCAGUCUGUCUCUUCUCUCUCUCUCUCUCUCUCUCUCUGUGUGUGUGUGUGUGUGUGUUGGGUCUCGGCUGAGCUGUUCCCUCUCCACGCACAUGCAAAUACACUGUUGAAGCUCGACCAAUCAAAGUGCUCCUUCCUGUCUAAUGAAGCCUAAAACCAUUGUCCCGUUACCAACCGGAGCACAGUCAUCACCAGAGUUUCACUAUAACCACUAAAAUCGCAAUUUUUUUGAAUAAAUUAAAGAGAGGCUGGUGUAAGAUUGGCACCAUGCUGUUUUUAUUGCUAAAUUUCAUAUACAGAUUUCUUUUUUUUUUUAAAUUGUACAAAAUCAAGAGGUUUAUCUUAGCAUGCUUAGCGCAUCGGUAGUGCAUAGAUUUAACCAAACAUACUGUACAGUGUUCCCAUCUUGUGAAAGAAAAAAAAAAUACAACAUGCUGGGGAAGAAAACAAUAUAACUUUGUUCAAAAUUGUGACAAUGGCAGUCAGGGGAUUAGAUUCCAGUUGGGAAUAACAAUUUAACCCGCUCGAGGUCACGAGUCUACUGUCGUCACGUGAUCCGUUUGAACGCUUGAAAUAACGCACGGGUUGGAUGUGAGUGAAGACCGGGUAACAGAUCGGCGCUGAGAUUUCGCCCUUCCGCCAGGAUCUGAUGCGUAAAGCUAAUACCGGAGGGCGUGAUUGAUUUAUUUAUUUAUUUAUCGUGCGCAUACAUUUUUGUAAUUUUAUUUCCAUCAGCCGAGUAUAGCAGCAAGCUUGUACGAAAUUAUUUUAUUAGUGUCCACCUCCUUUAGGAUCAUUCCCAUCAUCAGGUGACGGGUUGAUACAGAUAAUACUGCAGAUCCCUCUUGACGAGAUGUAUUUCAAAAUUAAAAAAAGGAAAGUUACAUACAGAAUGGGUUAUAAUAAAGCACGUGAGAUGAGUGUGUGUGUGUGUGUGUGGAAGGGGGGGGGCAUAUAGAUACACAACCUGUUUUUCUUUUUUUUUUCUUUUUUAAAACAGAGCUGAGGGAAGAAUCAAACACAAUCGGUCCACUCGCUUGACUUCACAUUUUUGCGUUAUAUUUUCUCCGAGCAAAAGCUUCAUUAUUGCAUGCAGCACAACACACGUGGUAGCCACUUCUACCAUGCAGUAGCUAAUUUAUCCCUCCCCCUACAUUCCCAUAUAGAAACACCGACAGGCUCACUGGAUAAACGAUGUUCAGUGCGUGUGAAGAGCGUACCGUAGCGUCUGAAAUGAGCCGUCCGCGUCACCGUCACCUCUCUCCUAUUGCUUUCCGACUGCAUAAUCGGGAUCUGUGCGUUUUCUGCUGAUGUAGUGAUAGAAAAUCAUGCAGUGUGCAUAAAGAAGUACGUUCUCAGACAUUUUUCUCUCAUGACGACGUUCCCGUACAACGUUUUUGGUUUUUAACGAACACGUGAGCUCAGUUUUGGCCUCCUGGAGAAUCCAGUUUGCUUUAGUAAUAAACCAACAGCCACUGAUGGCUUAACACACACACACACACACACACACACACACACACACCAAGGCUAGAAAUAUGCUACAGGUCAUUCCACGAAACACCAUUCUGGCACUAUAGAGUUCAUGCAUAAUAAGAUUAUUGCUUCUAAAUGACGAGGGUGCGUCCGUGCCGAAAACGUUCGGAGCACUCGCGACUCGGCAAUACUGAACGGUCGCAAAUGAGACGUGGAGGAUGUUUUAUUUCUGUAAAUAUCCAAUUAAAAUGACUGGGAUAUAACUGGUGCGAUAUAAAUAUAAAGGGUUGAUAGAUGCACCAAAAAGUAAACGU